UGCAAGCGGCAUCAGUUUAGACAAAAGACACAGCCUAGAGUAGGAAUACAUACGGCAGAAUCUAUAAUCUCAAUGUAGAUAAGCUAUGACCUGUCUAAUAACGAUGUUAGUAACCCUAUACCCAUACGGAAUUCAUAAAACUCGAUCACGCACAGAACAAAUUUUUCCUUCCUCUUUUUUUGUUGACACCCGAAACGGGUUAUAAUCGGGAAAACAUUUUUCCUUCAUGGGGGCGGUUUAAAUCCCGGGCGGGAGGGAGAGCCCCGCGCCUAUCAGCUUGUGGUGGGGUAAUGCCCUACCAAGGCGACGACGGGUACCCGCCCUAGAGGGCGACCGCGCACACUGGGACUGAGACAACGCCCCAGACUCCUACGGGAGGCAGCAGUGGGGAAUAUUGCACAAUGGGCGAAAACCCUGAUGCAGCGACGCCCGCGUGAGAGAUGACGGCCUUCGGGUUGUAAACCUCUUUCAGCAGGGAAGAAGCGCAAGUGACGGUACCUGCAGAAGAAGCACCGGCUAACUACGUGCCAGCAGCCGCGGUAAUACGUAGGGUGCGAGCGUUGUCCGGAAUUAUUGGGCGUAAAGAGCUCGUAGGCGGCUUGUCACGUCGGAUGUGAAAGCUCGGGGCUUAACCCCGAGUCUGCAUUCGAUACGGGCUAGCUAGAGUGUGGUAGGGGAGAUCGGAAUUCCUGGUGUAGCGGUGAAAUGCGCAGAUAUCAGGAGGAACACCGGUGGCGAAGGCGGAUCUCUGGGCCAUUACUGACGCUGAGGAGCGAAAGCGUGGGGAGCGAACAGGAUUAGAUACCCUGGUAGUCCACGCCGUAAACGUUGGGAACUAGGUGUUGGCGACAUUCCACGUCGUCGGUGCCGCAGCUAACGCAUUAAGUUCCCCGCCUGGGGAGUACGGCCGCAAGGCUAAAACUCAAAGGAAUUGACGGGGGCCCGCACAAGCAGCGGAGCAUGUGGCUUAAUUCGACGCAACGCGAAGAACCUUACCAAGGCUUGACAUAUACCGGAAAGCAUCAGAGAUGGUGCCCCCCUUGUGGUCGGUAUACAGGUGGUGCAUGGCUGUCGUCAGCUCGUGUCGUGAGAUGUUGGGUUAAGUCCCGCAACGAGCGCAACCCUUGUUCUGUGUUGCCAGCAUGCCCUUCGGGGUGAUGGGGACUCACAGGAGACUGCCGGGGUCAACUCGGAGGAAGGUGGGGACGACGUCAAGUCAUCAUGCCCCUUAUGUCUUGGGCUGCACACGUGCUACAAUGGCCGGUACAAUGAGCUGCGAUGCCGCGAGGCGGAGCGAAUCUCAAAAAGCCGGUCUCAGUUCGGAUUGGGGUCUGCAACUCGACCCCAUGAAGUCGGAGUUGCUAGUAUCGCAGAUCAGCUGUGCG
This 1385-nucleotide ribosomal RNA is filed under the name Streptomyces sp. KF-28. RNAcentral's name for it is "partial 16S ribosomal RNA". It matches the Rfam family "Bacterial small subunit ribosomal RNA", at positions 56 to 1361 of the family's 1533-position model. Lineage: Bacteria; Bacillati; Actinomycetota; Actinomycetes; Kitasatosporales; Streptomycetaceae. The record is from RNAcentral.